Molecule: non-coding RNA, 992 nt
Filed under: Lepetodrilus guaymasensis
Lineage: Eukaryota; Metazoa; Mollusca; Gastropoda; Lepetellida; Lepetodrilidae
Description: 12S ribosomal RNA
Rfam family: Microsporidia small subunit ribosomal RNA (bases 180-991)
Source: RNAcentral
GGUGAAUUUGGUUUUGGUUUAAUUUUUGGCUAUAACUACAUGAAAUGCAUGGUACUUUAGGGGUUCUGGUGAGUAGAGGCAGAAAGACAUAGUGUAAUAGUUUAAAACUAUUUUGGUACUUGAGCUCUUAGUAUAGUAAUUUUUAAAUUAUGCUUAAAUUUCUAGUCACUAGGUGUGGACACCAGUGUUGAGGAUUAAACAAUAAACGAAAGUUUGAUUUAGUGAGUAGAUGGAUUUAGAUCCGGCGAAUAUUUGUGCCAGCAGCUGCGGUUACACAAACGGGUCAAGUCAAAACUGGCUCGGCAGAAGAGAAGGUUAGAGAGGAAGGAAUAAAAGGAAGACGAACACUAAUUUAAUAAAGGUACAAUUCGGGUAAGAGAGUUACGUUCUUGGCUUCCUAAAUCUUGAGGCCUUGAAAUUUCAGGUGGAGACCGGGAUUAGAUACCCCGUUAUUCUGGAAUGUAAAAAUUGAUAUAUUAUAUUUGCCUGGGUACUACAAGUUUUAAAUACGUAGUGAAGGUAUUUAGAAAUUACUUAAAACUUAAAAGACUUGGCGGUGCCUUAUUUCUUACCAGGGGAACCUGCCCCAUAAACUGAUGAUCCACGUUUUAGCUUACCUUGUCUUGAAUUAAUUUCGGUUUUUCAGCUUGUAUACCGUCGUCGUCAGGCCGCCUUGGAGAGAAGUGGAGUGGCCUAUAAGAAUUUGUUAUUUUAUGGUUAGAUAAUUAUAAAUUGAAUUAUAUUCUAGACGUCAGAUCGAGGUGCAGCUUAUGAUAAGGUGGAAAGGUGGGUUACAAUAGGUAUUGCCUAUUAUGGAACAGUUCUUGUAAUAGAGUUGUGAAAGUGGACUUGGAAGUAAUUUAAAGUUAUGAUUAGAAAGCUUAGAUGAAAUAUGAUGGUACUAAGGUGUGCACAAAUCGCCCGUCGCUCUUGUUGAGAAAUAAGAUAAGUCGUAACAUAGUAGGGGUACUGGAAAGUGUCCCCGGGAUAAA